Molecule: ribosomal RNA, 427 nt
Filed under: uncultured bacterium
Lineage: Bacteria
Description: bacterial SSU rRNA
Rfam family: Bacterial small subunit ribosomal RNA
Source: RNAcentral
UGGGGAAUUUUGGACAAUGGACGCAAGUCUGAUCCAGCCAUGCCGCGUGCGGGAGGAAGGCCUUCGGGUUGUAAACCGCUUUUGUCAGGGAAGAAACGAGUUUCUCUAAUACAGAGACUUAAUGACGGUACCUGAAGAAUAAGCACCGGCUAACUACGUGCCAGCAGCCGCGGUAAUACGUAGGGUGCGAGCGUUAAUCGGAAUUACUGGGCGUAAAGCGUGCGCAGGCGGUUAUAUAAGACAGAUGUGAAAUCCCCGGGCUCAACCUGGGACCUGCAUUUGUGACUGCAUAGCUAGAGUACGGUAGAGGGGGAUGGAAUUCCGCGUGUAGCAGUGAAAUGCGUAGAUAUGCGGAGGAACACCGAUGGCGAAGGCAAUCCCCUGGGCCUGCACUGACGCUCAUGCACGAAAGCGUGGGGAGCAAACA